Molecule: long non-coding RNA, 547 nt
Filed under: Volvox carteri
Lineage: Eukaryota; Viridiplantae; Chlorophyta; Chlorophyceae; Chlamydomonadales; Volvocaceae
Description: long non-coding RNA (VCAR_LNC000502)
Source: RNAcentral
UUUAUCAUUAUUGCAAGCAACGAUGUCGAUGUAAUACUAAGCGUGCGCCCCACCACCCCGUUCCCGUAUACAGCCUUUGCUGCUUCAUGCAUAUGUCUGUGCGUGGACACAUUCGCCAGAAGUACGGUAUCAACGGCAACGGAUGCAAUGACUGCCUGCUCACGAUGUGCUGCCCCCUAUGGUAAGUCUCGAGGCGACCGUUCCUUCCAAAACAUGCUUAUUGCUUUUGUACAGGUCGUUAACCUUACCUUUCUUGCCUCUUUCUUUGCUCGUGCAGCGCUAUUUGCCAAGAGACCCGUGAGAUUGCUAAGCAUUCAUCCUAAAUUGGCAUAGUCAAGAUAUUUGCAAGGGGAUGUCCGACAGACUUCGCCCGGCUUUUGGACCAAUGCAACGCGACCAACAUCAAUUACCGCAAGUCAUGAUAAAUAAUGGUCGCGAAUCGGAGUACUGCAAUCGGAGUACUGCAAUGCCUGCUCGAAUGAUGCCCGUGCAGCUGAAGUUCUCUUGACGAUUUCUAGUCAUGACCUGGUUCUCGGCCUAAAUGCCA